AAUCAGACCAUUAUUCUCCACAGCUGUCGUCACCCUGGAAAGGGCUGCAUGUCUGAACUAUCUACCACCAGAUAUCUAAAAAAAGGAGGGGGAAGAACAUUUAACUAGAGACUCUUGCAAAACUGCCUGUUCAGUGGAAAGUUGCCUGUUAUGAGAGAGAGAGAGAAAGCAGACGGUUACUGUCUAGGUUGGACUAGCAACAAUACGCUGCAGUGUACCCGCUUUCCCCAAAGGUGUUUCUGUUCAGGAUUUCAGGCUGCAGAAGCGGUUACUGAAGACAGAAAUGCAGUGACGUUCUAUGUAAAUAAAAUGGUUUUGCAAGCACAUGCUCACAGGACUUUUAGGGAAGCACAGCCACAGCCCUCUUCAACAGAAUACCAUCUUUGAUGAUACAUGGGGAGUUUCUUCCUUUCCUCCAGCCCUAUAGUAUUCAGGGAUAGGACCCUAAUUCUGUGAGAAAACACAGGUUUUGCAGGCAGAGGUUUCAGCUUCAGUCUUCCUCACUGGAAUCCUGGAGAGUCGCUGCCUGUUAGUUUAUGACAGCUUCUUGUUUCUAGGUAAAUUCUAGACCGUAACAUUUGAUUCAAGUCCCACAUCUUAAAAUGCUUUUAAAAAGCUAAAGGUUUUUUCUCUCAGAGCUUUCAGGAGGUCUGCCUUCUGCAAAUGCUCAUCUAAAUUUUCAGAAAUUUUAUAUAAAAUUAAACUGUACAGAAGACUUUUAUAAAAGUUGCACAGGAAGUUUGCUUGGCAUCUGUGUUGAUGCCUAUUGUUGUGUCUUUUUAUUUGUCCACAGCUACUUUUUUCCUGGUAUUUUAACUGAUGCUUCCCUUACACACACACACACACACACACACACACACACCCCUUUUAAUGACCAUCUUUUAUUGCACCCAUGUUUGAAAUUAGACUUCUGACUUAUCACACAUGGUUAUUUUUUACAUAUAUAGCUCUCUCGCUCAAGAGAGCGUGUUAUAGUAUUUAACUGUGUUUAUGAUGUACAGUAUAUGCUAUUUUGGAAUAUUAUUUCUUUCUUUGAAAAAUACCCUCUUGCUUCCAAGGUUUAUCCAAACCAAAGCUAGUACACUGAUAAUCUGAAAGCAGCCUAACUAAUCAGAUUUGCACAAGUACUCUAUGUGGCCAUCAUUCAAAGAGCUCAGUUUCACCUAAGGCCAUAAUAUCUUAAGAGCAUUGUUACUGUACCUCUCCUUUCAAUAAUGCCAGAAGUACGUGAAUCAAUGACAACUUGGUUCCCCUACAGUUUUAUAUUUUAAAAUUCCCAAACAUGUUCUCCCCUUAUUCCUGCUUCCCAUGUAUUCCCUAGUUUCCUAGCACCAGUUCUUUCAAAAGUGGAACAGAGUUUGCUCACAAACCCCCCCGCUCUAUGUCAUAAUCUAGUCUUGCCCAAGUUGUUAAGUGUUUAUAGCUAUUCUGACUUCUGUAAAGACUUCAUAUUAAAAAUUGGGAGGGGGGAAGAGAAAGAUCUCUAGGACUGAGAAGAUCAAUAGCAUUUUGCACACAUUAUCAUUCUGCUUACCCAAUAUGAAGUUACUUCAUGUGUGUGAAAUACUUAGCGCAAGGAGCAUUUCACUCUCCCUAGUGCAUCAUUGCAGAGCUCCCAUUUGGAAAGUAACCCGUUUAAGAAAUUAAGCUUAUGCACAUGGUUUUACACAAAAACCUUUCAAAGACAUCCAUGGUGCCAAACAAAAAAGGGCUCUUCGCCUAACAUAUUGUAAGCUUCCAGCAUAUAAAAUCGCAGUAGGCCACAAAGCCCUUAAGAAUAGGCCCAAAUAUUUUAAGGCCUGUUAUGAUUGAAGCAUUUUACAAGUGCAAACUGAACGCUAAGUGGGCAUUUCUAACUGUAAUGUGUGUUACACAAAGAUUUCUUCUGAAAACCACCACUUAAAACAUUCACCCUGCUUUAAGAAUGUGACAAGUAAUUAUUCUCAUAAUAAAAAAGGCUUAAGUAUCUCUGAA
Non-coding RNA from Podarcis muralis (Common wall lizard), 1974 nucleotides. NCBI's taxonomy places the organism in Eukaryota, Metazoa, Chordata, Lepidosauria, Squamata, Lacertidae. The record is from RefSeq and is a predicted model, not a curated record.